AACGAACGCUGGCGGCGUGGAUAAGACAUGCAAGUCGAGCGAGAUUUUCUUUGGUAGCAAUACCGAAGGAAGUCUAGCGGCGAACGGGUGCUUAACACGUGGGCAACCUGCCAGGAAGUGGGGGAUAGCUCGCCGAAAGGCGAAUUAAUACCGCAUGUGAUUAGAGAGUACAUCCUUUCGAAAUUAAAGUCGGGGCAACCUGACGCUUCUUGUGGGGCCCGCGGCCUAUCAGCUAGUUGGUGGGGUAACGGCUCACCAAGGCUUUGACGGGUAGCUGGUCUGAGAGGACGACCAGCCACACUGGGACUGAGACACGGCCCAGACACCUACGGGUGGCAGCAGUCGAGAAUUUUUGACAAUGGGGGAAACCCUGAUCGAGCGACGCCGCGUGGAGGAUGAAGGUCUUCGGAUUGUAAACUCCUGUCAUUGGGGAACAAGGUGCAUACGUUAACUGCGUGUGCAUUGAUAGUACCCGAAGAGGAAGAGACGGCUAACUCUGUGCCAGCCGCCGCAGUAAAAC
RNAcentral lists this ribosomal RNA (520 nucleotides) under uncultured bacterium. Its description in RNAcentral is "bacterial SSU rRNA". It matches the Rfam family "Bacterial small subunit ribosomal RNA", at positions 29 to 526 of the family's 1533-position model. The record is from RNAcentral.